GGCUGGGGAGGCCUCAGAAAACUUACAAUCAUGGCAGAAGGUGAAGGGGAAGCCAGCACAUCUUCAUAUGAUGGCAGGAACUUUAUAUGUUAUAGAAGUUAGCCCCAAGAAUGAAAUCGUGUCCUUUGCCAAAACAUGGAUGGAGCUAGAGGCCUUUAUCCUAAGUGAGUUAACGCAGGAACAGAAAGCCAAAUAGUGCAUGUUCUCACUGAUAAGUGGGAGCUAAACUAUGGGUUCACAAAGGCAUGCAGAGUGGUACUGUGGACAUUGGAGACUCAGAAUGGGGGAGGCUAGGAGGGAGGUAAGGGAUGAAAAAGUACCUGUUGGGUACAAUGUACACUACUUGGGUGACGAUGGGUCCACUAAAAUCCCAGAUUUAACCACUGUACAAUUCAUCCAUGUAACCAAAACCCACCUGUACCCCAAUGCUAUGAAAAUAAAUAAAACCAA
RNAcentral lists this long non-coding RNA (450 nucleotides) under Homo sapiens (human). RNAcentral describes it as "non-protein coding lnc-FNDC1-10:9". Lineage: Eukaryota; Metazoa; Chordata; Mammalia; Primates; Hominidae. The record is from RNAcentral.